Molecule: ribosomal RNA, 468 nt
Filed under: uncultured bacterium
Lineage: Bacteria
Description: partial 16S ribosomal RNA
Rfam family: Bacterial small subunit ribosomal RNA
Source: RNAcentral
GACGAACGCUGGCGGCGUGCUUAACACAUGCAAGUCGAACGGAAGGGCCCUGCUUUUGUGGGGUGCUCGAGUGGCGAACGGGUGAGUAACACGUGAGUAACCUGCCCUUGACUUUGGGAUAACUUCAGGAAACUGGGGCUAAUACCGGAUAGGAGCUCCUGCUGCAUGGUGGGGGUUGGAAAGUUUCGGCGGUUGGGGAUGGACUCGCGGCUUAUCAGCUUGUUGGUGGGGUAGUGGCUUACCAAGGCUUUGACGGGUAGCCGGCCUGAGAGGGUGACCGGCGACAUUGGGACUGAGAGACGGACCAGACUGCUACGGGAGGCAGCAGUGGGGAAUAUUGCACAAUGGGGGGAAGCCUGAUGCAGCAACGCCGCGUGCGGGAUGACGGCCUUCGGGUUGUAAACCGCUUUCGCAUGUGACGAAGCGUGAGUGACGGUAAUGGGUAAAGAAGCACCGGCUAACUACGUG